Molecule: ribosomal RNA, 492 nt
Filed under: uncultured bacterium
Lineage: Bacteria
Description: partial 16S ribosomal RNA
Rfam family: Bacterial small subunit ribosomal RNA
Source: RNAcentral
AGUGAACGCUGGCGGUAGGCCUAACACAUGCAAGUCGAACGGCAGCACAGUAAGAGCUUGCUCUUACGGGUGGCGAGUGGCGGACGGGUGAGGAAUACAUCGGAAUCUACUUUUUCGUGGGGGAUAACGUAGGGAAACUUACGCUAAUACCGCAUACGACCUACGGGUGAAAGCAGGGGAUCUUCAGACCUUUCGCGAUUGAAUGAGCCGAUGUCGGAUUAGCUAGUUGGCGGGGUAAAGGCCCACCAAGGCGACGAUCCGUAGCUGGUCUGAGAGGAUGAUCAGCCACACUGGAACUGAGACACGGUCCAGACUCCUACGGGAGGCAGCAGUGGGGAAUAUUGGACAAUGGGCGCAAGCCUGAUCCAGCCAUACCGCGUGGGUGAAGAAGGCCUUCGGGUUGUAAAGCCCUUUUGUUGGGAAAGAAAAGCAGCAGGUUAAUCCCCCGCUGUUCUGACGGUACCCAAAGAAUAAGCACCGGCUAACUUCGUG